UCGAUUGUCUUUUCAUCUUCUCCUCAUGGCUGGGUUCAUACAAAAAACGUUUCUUCAGACAAUUGUCUUCUCAACCCCCACGCCUUCCUCCAUUCACUCAUAAUAAUUAUAUAAUCAUCCAACCCAUAAAGUCACUAACAAUAGAUUGAUUCGUCUGUUUGAUUCAGUUUCAUCUCAUCCACUUCAGUUCUAACUACAAUUUUCCAGUUUCAAAAUUCACAUCGACUCCGGAGUACUCAACCGACGAAUAAUAUAGUACAAUAACAGCCGGUGACCAAAUACGCAGCUUUAAUAAGAUUGAAGCAACGAUUUCCAGCUCCACUUCUACGGAAAGUUCGAACACCACAGCACCGGUGAAAUCCCACAUCGUCUUGGAAAGCUUCGGGUUUUGGUCUCGGCCCUCUUAGUAAAGCUGCACCUUCUGUUUCUUAACUUCGGAUCGCGGCUCUAUCAGUUCACAUGAUCCAUCAAGAUACAAAUUGUCCACAUUCAUCGAUACAUCCUAUCCCUUCCCGUAAAUAAUGAAAAUGGAAUCAUGUAAGCUGUUCAUCGGUCGGCUCACUUGGAACUUGGAAGUCGCACUGAAGAUCGAGAGUACUUUCAGAGUUUCAGUGAGGUUUUAGAAGUGAUUCUCAUGAAGGAUCGAGCCACUGGCUAUGAUCUUUUCUUUUUGUCUUGGCUAAUCCCAAUGUUGCUGAGAGAGUCUUAUUGCUCCUACACUUAAUAGAUGUUAAAUGUAAGUUUUGAUCAAAUUUCUUUUGAGCCAAUACUUCACUGAUACUCAGAAUCAAAGUUAUGGAAUCAAUUAAAGAGUUUAUUUCUUUUUGUUGAUCAAGUGAUUUUGACGGGAACCUGGUGAGAGAAGUAUCUCUUGGGGUGGCCUCUCAAGAGAUUUGUUUUUCUAUUUUGUAUUGCUAUCCACUUUUGUGGUACUUUGUGAACAGGUUCCUCGGUAUUGAAGCUUUAUCAAGGAUGUUUGUGGACUCACGUGAUCUCCCAUUGCGUCUACAACACUGUAUUAAGUUCCCUUGAGAUUUUUUUAGUGAAAAAAGUUCCCUUGAGAUAUGUGUGCUUCAUUAUAAGAUUGGUGCGAAUAUGCUGCUCGGUCCUCAUAUUCAUGUCCUUAGUGACUUAGAAUUCAGUGAUACAACAAUUGAGUUAGUGUUAGAGAGGUUUCCGGUUGCAAUUCGUUUUCAUUUGUUUAGUUGCUGAUUAAUCUUAUUGCAGUUUGUGUUUGAUUGCCUUCAAACCCUCUACGUAGGCUUAGAUUGAAGUCUUCAACUUCUGGAAUUUUGUUUGUCUUAGGAUUGUGCUCUUUCUGGAGGAGGAUACGCAGAAAAAAACUGUUGUACCAAUCGGAAAACAACAUUCCAAUCCCCACCGGUGUCUUCCUAAGAGAUACAGCGGCUUUCUCUAAAGUGGAGCUUGGUUUCCUUGGAGUAGAUUCAUGUUUAAUUUUCAGUCGCCGAUGCUGAUCUCCACGUUCAUGGAAAGGACAAAGCUUUACUUCUAUUGACAUAGGCUCUGGCUCCUCUCUGCAUUAGCUUCAGUGUUGUUUGAUUCUACAGUAAUGGAUGUCUACUCAUACCCCUGUAACAAAAGCUUGGAUUCAAGAUAUACAUAAGUCGAAUAUAUUACUUCAACGCAGAGUUUAUAUCAGGAUGCAUGUGUGAUUCUAGAUGUGCUAAGCAGUUCAAGAUUCAGAAAUAACGUCGCCGUUGUUGAAUCUGGCAGGAAGAUGCUCACGAGUUUUUGAGAUUUAUAAUGGACCAAAUGCACGAUGAGCUGGUGAAACUCAGGGAAGUGUCUCCCAAAUUCACUGCUUCGAAGUCCUCCGUUGUUACUUCUGCCAACGAUGAUGAUGAAUGGGAAACAGUUGGACCCAUGAAUAAAUCUGCUGUGAGGAGAACACAAAUAUUUCUUCCUUCUGAGCUCCGCAAUAUAUUCGGUGGCCAGCUAAGAAGCGUAGUGAAAUCAAAAGGGAGCAAAGAUCUGCUACUGUACAGCCAUAUCUCUUACUUCACCUUGAUCAUAAAGGAAAAAAUAUGGCUGUACAGGGUGAAGUAUCACUAGCUCUGGUCUGUUACAAAGCUUUCCCAAUCUAAAGACACUGGUUUAGGAGAAAAAAGUUUACUUGAUAAUAAAGGAACUUUCUCCAUCAGCUGAUAAGAAAAAGAAAGGGUGUCAAGGGUGGUUAAAAGGAUAAACACUGCAAGAAAUGAACGGCAAGAGAAUCAUUUUGAAGGAUUGGACAUUCUGAUGAUUGGUUGUUAUUUGAGUUGUUAAUGAUGCGAUUGAGGAUGAGGAUGGUAGUAACUAGGUUUGUAGUUGAUCAUUUUAAAUUUAAGUUCUAUUGUGUAUAAAAAAGUUCGUGAAGAGAACCGUGAAUAAGAGGUUGAAGUUUAUAGCAUAAGUACAGAUGGCUGAUCUCUUUGCCUUCUUUUAAUUUUCGUAAAAUUAUUAUGGGAGUGAUUAAAAGAGAGUGUGUUACUUUAGCAUUUUCUUUGUUUUAAUAUUUUCACAAAACAUUUUAUUCCCUACAUGAUUUAGAUUCUUAUUUUAUUAAUUUACGAUCUCA
This is a long non-coding RNA of Raphanus sativus (radish), 2578 nucleotides long. RefSeq lists it as uncharacterized. The record is from RefSeq and is a predicted model, not a curated record. Lineage: Eukaryota; Viridiplantae; Streptophyta; Magnoliopsida; Brassicales; Brassicaceae. The transcript is spliced from 9 exons.